Molecule: non-coding RNA, 90 nt
Organism: Mycena galericulata
Lineage: Eukaryota; Fungi; Basidiomycota; Agaricomycetes; Agaricales; Mycenaceae
Source: the annotation of a GenBank genome assembly
GCGCCGGUGGUGUACGGCACACACACUGACUGCAUGCUGCAGUACCGAAACACAAGUAUCAGUGACGGGGUUCGAUUCCCCGCCGGUGCA